This 443-nucleotide ribosomal RNA is filed under the name uncultured bacterium. RNAcentral's name for it is "partial 16S ribosomal RNA". It matches the Rfam family "Bacterial small subunit ribosomal RNA", at positions 338 to 795 of the family's 1533-position model. The record is from RNAcentral.
CCUACGGGGGGCAGCAGUGGGGAAUAUUGGGCAAUGGACGCAACUCUGACCCAGCAACGCCGCGUGAAUGAUGACGGUCUUCGGAUUGUAAAGUUCUUUUCUAAGGGAAGAAGAAAGUGACGGUACCUUAGGAAUAAGCCUCGGCUAACUACGUGCCAGCAGCCGCGGUAAUACGUAGGAGGCAAGCGUUAUCCGGAAUGACUGGGCGUAAAGGGUGCGUAGGUGGUUUGACAAGUUAGUAGCGAAACUCCGGAGCUCAACUUCGGAAGUACUACUAAAACUGUUGGACUUGAGUGCAGGAGGGGCAAGCGGAAUUCGUGGUGUAGCGGUGGAAUGCGUAGAUAUUAGGAAGAACACCAGUGGCGAAGGCGGAUUGCUGGACUGUAACUGACACUGAGGCACGAAAGCGUGGGUAGCGAACAGGAUUAGAUACCCUAGUAGUC